This 761-nucleotide ribosomal RNA is filed under the name uncultured Prevotella sp. Its description in RNAcentral is "bacterial SSU rRNA". It matches the Rfam family "Bacterial small subunit ribosomal RNA", at positions 28 to 776 of the family's 1533-position model. Lineage: Bacteria; Pseudomonadati; Bacteroidota; Bacteroidia; Bacteroidales; Prevotellaceae. The record is from RNAcentral.
GAUGAACGCUAGCUAUAGGCUUAACACAUGCAAGUCGAGGGGAAACGGCAGAGAGUGCUUGCACACUUUGGACGUCGACCGGCGCACGGGUGAGUAACGCGUAUCCAACCUGCCCUUUACUUGGGGAUAACCCGUUGAAAGACGGACUAAUACCCAAUGAUAUUCAUUGAUGACAUCUGAUUUGAAUUAAAGAUUUAUCGGUAUAGGAUGGGGAUGCGUCUGAUUAGCUUGUUGGUGAGGUAACGGCUCACCAAGGCAACGAUCAGUAGGGGUUCUGAGAGGAAGGUCCCCCACAUUGGAACUGAGACACGGUCCAAACUCCUACGGGAGGCAGCAGUGAGGAAUAUUGGUCAAUGGACGAGAGUCUGAACCAGCCAAGUAGCGUGCAGGAUGACGGCCCUAUGGGUUGUAAACUGCUUUUGUUUGGGAAUAAUCGACAUUACGUGUAAUGUUUUGCAUGUACCAUUCGAAUAAGGACCGGCUAAUUCCGUGCCAGCAGCCGCGGUAAUACGGAAGGUCCAGGCGUUAUCCGGAUUUAUUGGGUUUAAAGGGAGUGUAGGCGGUUGGUUAAGCGUGUUGUGAAAUGUAGAUGCUCAACAUCUGACUUGCAGCGCGAACUGGCUGACUUGAGUACACACAACGUAGGCGGAAUUCAUGGUGUAGCGGUGAAAUGCUUAGAUAUCAUGAAGAACUCCGAUUGCGAAGGCAGCUUACGGGAGUGUUACUGACGCUUAAGCUCGAAGGUGCGGGUAUCGAACAGG